UGGCGCCCGAACAGGGACCUGGAAAUGAGGGACUCCGUGAGGAAGAGGACGCCAAAGGACAGUCGACCGCUAAUGAAGACAAAAGGAGUCAAACUCUUCCAAUCACCGCGGGAACAUGCCGCGUCAGAAUCGAAGGUAAGUGACGCGUCCGAAAUGGGACAAGAAUUAAGCCAACAUCAAAUAUAUGUAGGACAAUUAAAAGAGGCUUUAAAGAUACGAGGAGUAAAGGUUAAAGGUAAUGAUUUGUUUAAAUUUUUUGAUUUUGUAAAAGACACUUGCCCUU
Macaca mulatta (Rhesus monkey) is the source of this 283-nucleotide non-coding RNA. Lineage: Eukaryota; Metazoa; Chordata; Mammalia; Primates; Cercopithecidae. The record is from Rfam.